UUCAUUGCGGUCCCCGUCGGUUUCGCGUAGGCUGCCGAGCACGUUGAAUCUGGUGCGAUUCCAGAGCUGUCCCGCAACGGUGUGACGAUUGCCUCGUCGAGCCCGACCUUCGCUAUUUUUGACAA
Molecule: non-coding RNA, 125 nt
Filed under: Propionibacterium sp.
Lineage: Bacteria; Bacillati; Actinomycetota; Actinomycetes; Propionibacteriales; Propionibacteriaceae
Source: RNAcentral